This 429-nucleotide ribosomal RNA is filed under the name Gemmatimonadota bacterium. RNAcentral describes it as "Gemmatimonadetes bacterium partial 16S ribosomal RNA". It matches the Rfam family "Bacterial small subunit ribosomal RNA", at positions 355 to 776 of the family's 1533-position model. Lineage: Bacteria; Pseudomonadati; Gemmatimonadota. The record is from RNAcentral.
UAGGGAAUCUUCGGCAAUGGACGAAAGUCUGACCGAGCAACGCCGCGUGAGUGAAGAAGGUUUUCGGAUCGUAAAACUCUGUUGUUAGAGAAGAACAAGGACGUUAGUAACUGAACGUCCCCUGACGGUAUCUAACCAGAAAGCCACGGCUAACUACGUGCCAGCAGCCGCGGUAAUACGUAGGUGGCAAGCGUUGUCCGGAUUUAUUGGGCGUAAAGCGAGCGCAGGCGGUUUCUUAAGUCUGAUGUGAAAGCCCCCGGUUCAACCGGGGAGGGUCAUUGGAAACUGGGGGACUUGAGUGCAGAAGAGGAGAGUGGAAUUCCAUGUGUAGCGGUGAAAUGCGUAGAUAUAUGGGGGAACACCGGUGGCAAAGGCGGCUCUCUGGUCUGUAACUGACGCUGAGGCUCGAAAGCGUGGGGAGCAAACAGG